This 305-nucleotide ribosomal RNA is filed under the name uncultured bacterium. RNAcentral describes it as "partial 16S ribosomal RNA". It matches the Rfam family "Bacterial small subunit ribosomal RNA", at positions 508 to 807 of the family's 1533-position model. The record is from RNAcentral.
ACAGCAGUAGCCGCGGUAAUACGAAGGGUGCAAGCGUUACUCGGAAUUACUGGGCGUAAAGCGUGUGUAGGUGGUUGUUUAAGUCUGUCGUGAAAGCCCUGGGCUCAACCUGGGAAUUGCGAUGGAUACUGGGCGACUAGAGUGCGGUAGAGGAUAGUGGAAUUUCCGGUGUAGCAGUGAAAUGCGUAGAGAUCGGAAGGAACAUCUGUGGCGAAGGCGACUAUCUGGGCCAACACUGACACUGAGACACGAAAGCGUGGGGAGCAAACAGGAUUAGAUACCCCUGUAGUCCCUGUCUCUUAUAC